Molecule: non-coding RNA, 1219 nt
Organism: Nelumbo nucifera (sacred lotus)
Lineage: Eukaryota; Viridiplantae; Streptophyta; Magnoliopsida; Proteales; Nelumbonaceae
Source: RefSeq, a predicted model, not a curated record
CACUGGCCACUCACCCAACUACUCUUUCCUCCCUUUAAAGCAAAGCAAAGAUAGUUUUUGGAGGACGAAGGCGAACGUAGCAGUGGAAGUGGGAGUAGGGAGCUUAAUUUGGGCUUUUGAUAUGGGUGCGUCACAUCUGACAAUAUCAGUGCUCAACCUUUCCCCUAUAGUAACCUGUGCAGAUGUUUUCAGUUUCUUCUCCUACUGUGGAGCAGUUGACAAAAUCGAGUUAGUGAGAAAUGAAGACGAAUCACAGAUGGCUUUUGUGACAUUCAGGCAGCAUUACGCCCUUCAAACUGCUCUUCUCUUAAACGUACGCAAAAUGCCGUCAUUGUAGACCACCCAAUCCGUAUACUCCCUCCGCAAAGCCAAAAUUUAGACAAUACAAGUCGCCAGCAGAAAAGGAGAAGGCGGCAUUACUCUGUGGUGCAACAACUACAACAAGAUAUGGGUGGAAAAGGAUAUCAAGCUUUGAACAUGAAGAAUGCGCAGGAAGAGAUAGAGGUGAAUUACAAGCUGUCAGAGAAAGGCAGAGUUGUCCUGAGUCUAGAGGGAAGACUGACCAUAUCUGCAUCAGAUCACACAAGGAGGGGAGUAGUUGGAUCAAUAAUCAUGGACAAUGAAUACUUGUCAGCUGUAGCUGUUGGGCUAGAUAAGGCAGCCAAGUGUGUGGCUCAACUGGCCAACUACGACCAGAUUAGGCACCCUUACUCCAAGUGUGUGGUCUUGUAACAUGCAUGAGAAUUGAGAUUUCCUCUCCUAUUUAAUUAAUUAAAACAGCCCAUGUGAUUAUGUGAACUGAAGGCUCUCUACCCAGUACCUCUGUACCUACCCACGUUGCCAAUUCCAUACUCUGACUGACUCGACCAGGCUUCACCCUUCAGACAAUCUUAAACAUCACCUCGACCAUAACAUCGAUCCCUGAUCCCCGGCCCCAUUGUUUUUUAUUAUUUAUCCAAAGGUGAGUUCCACCAUUUGGGUCGUUCAAUUCAAAUUCAGUAUAUAAUGAGCAGAACCGGCCGGUUUGAAAAAUUCUAAGCACAACCCGGAUGGUAUUAUUAAUGGGGCAGGAACAGGAACACUACUCAUCUGCUUUUUAUUUUAUUUUUAUGAUGUUGUGUAAGGAAGCAUGCCACUGUCAAAAGCAAUCAAAUUUAUUUUCGUUUUUAGAUACACAUGUUUAAGUUGUGGACAAUUUUUCAGUACGUAUCUACAAGUA